RNAcentral lists this ribosomal RNA (450 nucleotides) under uncultured bacterium. Its description in RNAcentral is "bacterial SSU rRNA". It matches the Rfam family "Bacterial small subunit ribosomal RNA", at positions 354 to 796 of the family's 1533-position model. The record is from RNAcentral.
GUGGGGAAUUUUGGACAAUGGGCGCAAGCCUGAUCCAGCAAUGCCGCGUGCAGGAAGAAGGCCUUCGGGUUGUAAACUGCUUUUGUCAGGGAAGAAAUCUUCUGGGCUAAUACCCCGGGAGGAUGACGGUACCUGAAGAAUAAGCACCGGCUAACUACGUGCCAGCAGCCGCGGUAAUACGUAGGGUGCGAGCGUUAAUCGGAAUUACUGGGCGUAAAGCGUGCGCAGGCGGCUUUGCAAGACAGAUGUGAAAUCCCCGGGCUCAACCUGGGAACGGCGUUUGUGACUGCAAGGCUAGAGUACGGCAGAGGGGGAUGGAAUUCCGCGUGUAGCAGUGAAAUGCGUAGAUAUGCGGAGGAACACCAAUGGCGAAGGCAAUCCCCUGGGCCUGUACUGACGCUCAUGCACGAAAGCGUGGGGAGCAAACAGGAUUAGAAACCCUGGUAGUCC